GAAGGGUUUCAUGGCUUUUGCAGGUGCCAGGUUAUGUCCUGGGCAAAGGACAUAACCAAGCAGGUUUGGUUUGGCUCCCUGCCUUUCCCGAGGAUGAGUCUGCAUAAUGCUGAUCAGCCUCUGAUCCAGACCAGAGUAAUUUCAUAGACUCUGACAUCAGCCUCUGCUGGAUGCUGCUUAGCACCUGCCCCAAAAUUUGGGUGUUUUCAGCCUGGGUUGUUUUGGAUUCUAUGGCAGAUGGUCUGUCACCCCAGCCUACUGUGGUCCUACUGUACCCCCAGGCCACCUGAGGUCACAGCGAGAGGAAGAGGACAUGAGGCUAAGCCGAGUUGAGGGUGACAUCCUCCAUCUGCUGCAAUCCUCCCCACAGAGUGAGCAUGAGGAACAGGGAUCUACUCAGAAUUAAGUAUCAAUCAGGCAAAGACUUCACAUACUGCUGUGAAUAGUCAUAUCCUUCUGAAGAACUGCAGAGUGAAUGGGCCACAUAAAAUUUUCUACCAAAGACUGUUUCAUUUUCCCAUCCCAGCAUUCUGCUAUAAGUAGAGGUAUUUACCUCAUCUCCAGGAGUAAGGGGAGAAAUUGUGAUGAAGUUGACAAGAGUUGUCAGGAAACUUGCUGCAGUUUUUGGAGAAGUCCCUCAGUUAUACAUGGUGAACUGUCACAUGUAAGGUAGGACAGAAGUAAAACGCACCAGGGAAGUAAUUUUGGCUUUUUU
RNAcentral lists this long non-coding RNA (715 nucleotides) under Parus major (Great Tit). RNAcentral describes it as "lncRNA (ENSPMJG00000017483.1)". Lineage: Eukaryota; Metazoa; Chordata; Aves; Passeriformes; Paridae. The record is from RNAcentral.